GAUGAACGCUGGCGGCGUGCCUAAUACAUGCAAGUCGAGCGAACGGACGAGAAGCUUGCUUCUCUGAUGUUAGCGGCGGACGGGUGAGUAACACGUGGAUAACCUACCUAUAAGACUCGGAUAACUUCGGGAAACCGUAGCUAAUACCGGAUAAUAUUUUGAACCGCAUGGUUCAAAAGUGAAAGACGGUCUUGCUGUCACUUAUAGAUGGAUCCGCGCUGCAUUAGCUAGUUGGUAAGGUAACGGCUUACCAAGGCAACGAUGCAUAGCCGACCUGAGAGGGUGAUCGGCCACACUGGAACUGAGACACGGUCCAGACUCCUACGGGAGGCAGCAGUAGGGAAUCUUCCGCAAUGGGCGAAAGCCUGACGGAGCAACGCCGCGUGAGUGAUGAAGGUCUUCGGAUCGUAAAACUCUGUUAUUAGGGAAGAACAUAUGUGUAAGUAACUGUGCACAUCUUGACGGUACCUAAUCAGAAAGCCACGGCUAACUACGUG
RNAcentral lists this ribosomal RNA (497 nucleotides) under uncultured bacterium. RNAcentral describes it as "partial 16S ribosomal RNA". It matches the Rfam family "Bacterial small subunit ribosomal RNA", at positions 28 to 507 of the family's 1533-position model. The record is from RNAcentral.